AUACGGAGGGUGCAAGCGUUAUCCGGAAUCAUUGGGUUUAAAGGGUCCGCAGGCGGGACUGUAAGUCAGUGGUGAAAAGCGGUAGCUCAACUAUCGUCGUGCCAUUGAUACUGCAGUCCUUGAAUUCGAUUGGAGUGGGCGGAAUAUGUCAUGUAGCGGUGAAAUGCUUAGAUAUGACAUAGAACACCGAUAGCGAAGGCAGCUCACUAAGUCUGAAUUGACGCUCAUGGACGAAAGCGCGGGUAGCAAACAGGAUUAGAUACCCUGGUAGUCCGCGCCGUAAACGAUGAUUACUCGUUGUCAGCUCUUCGGAGUUGGUGACCAAGCGAAAGUGAUAAGUAAUCCACCUGGGGAGUACGCUCGCAAGGGUGAA
This 373-nucleotide ribosomal RNA is filed under the name uncultured bacterium. Its description in RNAcentral is "bacterial SSU rRNA". It matches the Rfam family "Bacterial small subunit ribosomal RNA", at positions 523 to 898 of the family's 1533-position model. The record is from RNAcentral.